AGUGAACGCUGGCGGUAGGCCUAACACAUGCAAGUCGAACGGCAGCACAGUAAGAGCUUGCUCUUACGGGUGGCGAGUGGCGGACGGGUGAGGAAUACAUCGGAAUCUACUUUUUCGUGGGGGAUAACGUAGGGAAACUUACGCUAAUACCGCAUACGACCUACGGGUGAAAGCAGGGGAUCUUCGGACCUUGCGCGAUUGAAUGAGCCGAUGUCGGAUUAGCUAGUUGGCGGGGUAAAGGCCCACCAAGGCGACGAUCCGUAGCUGGUCUGAGAGGAUGAUCAGCCACACUGGAACUGAGACACGGUCCAGACUCCUACGGGAGGCACCAGUGGGGAAUAUUGGACAAUGGGCGCAAGCCUGAUCCAGCCAUACCGCGUGGGUGAAGAAGGCCUUCGGGUUGUAAAGCCCUUUUGUUGGGAAAGAAAAGCAGCAGGCUAAUACCCCGCUGUUCUGACGGUACCCAAAGAAUAAGCACCGGCUAACUUCGUG
Molecule: ribosomal RNA, 492 nt
Filed under: uncultured bacterium
Lineage: Bacteria
Description: partial 16S ribosomal RNA
Rfam family: Bacterial small subunit ribosomal RNA
Source: RNAcentral